This 334-nucleotide unclassified non-coding RNA is filed under the name soil metagenome. RNAcentral's name for it is "partial contains 5.8S ribosomal RNA, internal transcribed spacer 2, and large subunit ribosomal RNA". The stretch from base 1 to 120 matches the Rfam family "5.8S ribosomal RNA", at positions 35 to 154 of the family's 154-position model. The record is from RNAcentral.
GAUGAAGAACGUAGCGAAAUGCGAUACGUAAUGUGAAUUGCAGAAUUCAGUGAAUCAUCGAAUCUUUGAACGCACAUUGCGCCUGCCAGCACUCUGGCAGGCAUGCCUGUUCGAGCGUCAUUUCAACCAUCAAGCCCUAGGCUUGCGUUGGAGCCCUGCGGCUGCCGCAGGCCCCUAAAAGCAGUGGCGGGCUCGCUAUCACACCGAGUGCAGUAGAUUACUCUUCGCUCAGGGCGUGUGGCGGGUUCCAGCCGUGAAACCCCCUACUUCUCAAGGUUGACCUCGAAUCAGGUAGGAAUACCCGCUGAACUUAAGCAUAUCAAUAAGCGGAGGA